AACGAACGCUGGCGGCGCGCCUAAUACAUGCAAGUCGAGCGAGAAGACGUAGCAAUACGUUUGUAAAGCGGCGAACGGGUGAGGAAUACAUGGGUAACCUACCCUCGAGUGGGGAAUAACUAGCCGAAAGGUUAGCUAAUACCGCGUACGCUCCUUGGACUUCGGUUCAGGGAGGAAAGCGAUACCGUGGGUAUCGCGCUCUUGGAUGGGCUCAUGUCCUAUCAGCUUGUUGGUGAGGUAACGGCUCACCAAGGCUUCGACGGGUAGCUGGUCUGAGAGGACGAUCAGCCACACUGGCACUGCGACACGGGCCAGACUCCUACGGGAGGCAGCAGUAAGGAAUAUUGCGCAAUGGGCGAAAGCCUGACGCAGCGACGCCGCGUGGGGGAUGAAGGUCUUCGGAUUCGUAAACCCCUUUCGGGGAGGGAAGAUGGAACGAGCAAUCGUUCGGACGGUACCUCCAGAAG
Molecule: ribosomal RNA, 467 nt
Filed under: uncultured bacterium
Lineage: Bacteria
Description: bacterial SSU rRNA
Rfam family: Bacterial small subunit ribosomal RNA
Source: RNAcentral